UACGUAGGGGGCAGGCGUUAAUCGGAAUUACUGGGCGUAAAGCGUGCGCAGGCGGUCUUUUAAGUCAGAUGUGAAAUCCCCGGGCUUAACCUGGGAACUGCGUUUGAAACUGAAAGGCUAGAGUGUGGCAGAGGGGGGUGGAAUUCCACGUGUAGCAGUGAAAUGCGUAGAGAUGUGGAGGAACACCGAUGGCGAAGGCAGCCCCCUGGGCUAACACUGACGCUCAUGCACGAAAGCGUGGGGAGCAAACAGG
This 253-nucleotide ribosomal RNA is filed under the name uncultured bacterium. Its description in RNAcentral is "partial 16S ribosomal RNA". It matches the Rfam family "Bacterial small subunit ribosomal RNA", at positions 524 to 776 of the family's 1533-position model. The record is from RNAcentral.